GAGAGAGUGAGGAGCGAAAGGGGAAAGGAGAAACGCCUCGCACCGAGAAGAGGGGCGAUGGAAACGGGGAAAAGUACCUGAAUUGCAGUGCUGAGAAAUCAUCAAGGGUAUCCUGCCUGGCAUUCCGACCUGAAGGGCCCUGCGUGAGGCGGAGCACCCUCCCCAGGAGAAGAGAGCUCAGCUCGGCCUUUAACUGAUCCGACCCUCCUACCGCUCACCUCCUCUUCAUCUUUCGAAUAAAGGAACCACCCCCUCAUCCCGGGGGAUCCCGACAUCAGUCUCCCAGCUCUCUCACACCUCCAUCCUCUC
Molecule: long non-coding RNA, 309 nt
Organism: Anoplopoma fimbria (sablefish)
Lineage: Eukaryota; Metazoa; Chordata; Actinopteri; Perciformes; Anoplopomatidae
Exons: 3
Source: RefSeq, a predicted model, not a curated record